UGGUGGGAUGGUUUUGACAGUUUUGCUUGAACUGAUGUGAAUACGGCUGGUUAUUGCACAAGGCUGUUUUUGCAGGCUAUUCAUUGCUUUAAUCUUUGCAGCAUUUAUGCACAUCCUGCAGCAUUUAUGCACAUCCAGUUGUUCUUGACCAUGCAGGUUUUGGGAGGGAAAUGACUUAGCCAAGAACACAUGACGUGAGUUGGACAAAGCGCAUAAACAAAUGGCCAAAUCUGGUAUUUGAAGCAUCAUGGACAAAUAGCAACUCCAGGAUCAAGAUUGAAUUUUAAAAUAGGAUUGGGACUUAUGGGGUUGAGUUGACUUUGGUCAGAGUUGACCAAAAAGUCAACGGUUGACCAAAGUCAACAGUUGGUCAACACACUCAUUCUUUGUAUUUUUUCCUGUAAUGAUCAUGUAAUGAAUGAAAUUUCUUCACUUGAAUGAACUUGGAUUUGUAUUUGGCCUGAAUGGCUUUUGAAAUGAAUUUGAAAUUAUCUUACAUGAA
Molecule: long non-coding RNA, 502 nt
Organism: Lathyrus oleraceus (garden pea)
Lineage: Eukaryota; Viridiplantae; Streptophyta; Magnoliopsida; Fabales; Fabaceae
Exons: 2
Source: RefSeq, a predicted model, not a curated record